RNAcentral lists this ribosomal RNA (497 nucleotides) under uncultured bacterium. Its description in RNAcentral is "partial 16S ribosomal RNA". It matches the Rfam family "Bacterial small subunit ribosomal RNA", at positions 28 to 507 of the family's 1533-position model. The record is from RNAcentral.
GACGAACGCUGGCGGCGUGCCUAAUACAUGCAAGUUGAGCGAUGAAGAUUGGUGCUUGCACCAAUUUGAAGAGCAGCGAACGGGUGAGUAACGCGUGGGGAAUCUGCCUUUGAGCGGGGGACAACAUUUGGAAACGAAUGCUAAUACCGCAUAACAACUUUAAACAUAAGUUUUAAGUUUGAAAGAUGCAAUUGCAUCACUCAAAGAUGAUCCCGCGUUGUAUUAGCUAGUUGGUGAGGUAAAGGCUCACCAAGGCGAUGAUACAUAGCCGACCUGAGAGGGUGGUCGGCCCCCACGGGACUGGGAAACGGCCCAAGCUCCUACGGGAGGCAGCAGUAGGGAAUCUUCGGCAAUGGACGAAAGUCUGACCGAGCAACGCCGCGUGAGUGAAGAAGGUUUUCGGAUCGUAAAACUCUGUUGGUAGGGAAGAACGUUGGUGAGAGUGGAAAGCUCAUCAAGUGACGGUAACUACCCAGAAAGGGACGGCUAACUACGUG